This 450-nucleotide ribosomal RNA is filed under the name uncultured bacterium. RNAcentral's name for it is "partial 16S ribosomal RNA". It matches the Rfam family "Bacterial small subunit ribosomal RNA", at positions 338 to 795 of the family's 1533-position model. The record is from RNAcentral.
CCUACGGGGGCUGCAGUGGGGAAUUUUGGACAAUGGGGGCAACCCUGAUCCAGCCAUGCCGCGUGCGGGAAGAAGGCCUUCGGGUUGUAAACCGCUUUUGUCGGGGAAGAAAUCCUCUGGGCUAAUACCUCGGGGGCAUGACGGUACCCGGAGAAUAAGCACCGGCUAACUACGUGCCAGCAGCCGCGGUAAUACGUAGGGUGCAAUCGUUAAUCGGAAUUACUGGGCGUAAAGCGUGCGCAGGCGGUGUGAAAUCCCCGGGCUCAACCUUGGAAAUGCGUUUGUGACUGCAAGGCUGGAGUGCGGCAGAGGGGGAUGGAAUUCCGCGUGUAGCAGUGAAAUGCAUAGAUAUGCGGAGGAACACCGAUGGCGAAGGCAAUCCCCUGGGCCUGCACUGACGCUCAUGCACGAAAGCGAGGGGAGCAAACAGGAUUAGAUACCCGAGUAGUC